Molecule: unclassified non-coding RNA, 226 nt
Filed under: Leucosporidiales sp.
Lineage: Eukaryota; Fungi; Basidiomycota; Microbotryomycetes; Leucosporidiales
Description: partial contains small subunit ribosomal RNA, internal transcribed spacer 1, and 5.8S ribosomal RNA
Rfam family: Eukaryotic small subunit ribosomal RNA (bases 1-46)
Source: RNAcentral
AAGUCGUAACAAGGUUUCCGUAGGUGAACCUGCGGAAGGAUCAUUAGUGAAUUCUGGCUGUCUCUUUACUGAGAAGCUAUCUUCCACUUUUAACCCUGUGAACUAGUCAUCGGCCUCACUUUGCUGAGAGGUUUGAUGUAAAACUUUUUUAUUUAUUUAACGCAAGUUGAUGAAUGUUAAACUUAAUAACCAAAAAAAACUUUCAACAACGGAUCUCUUGGCUCUC